This 382-nucleotide long non-coding RNA is filed under the name Nicotiana tabacum (common tobacco). RNAcentral's name for it is "long non-coding RNA (NTAB_LNC001058)". Lineage: Eukaryota; Viridiplantae; Streptophyta; Magnoliopsida; Solanales; Solanaceae. The record is from RNAcentral.
UAGUAAACGUGUCGAAAUCAUUCUCCAGUUUUCUUUGAGACUCUUCGUUUUCGGUAUCGACAAUGGAGAGAUCGACGGAGCCCCAAUCGGCGCCGUAGAGGACGGAAGUGGGACGGACGUGGACAAGGAUGACGGCGUCACCUGGACGGAGGUACUGAUGGACGGCCCACUUAACGGCGAAAGCGGAUUCGUCGCUUAGAUCGACGGCGAUGCCGAUCUUGCGUUGAGCACCGGCGGUAGGGGUAUCGGUGGUGGAAGGAGUGGUAGGAGGUGGGAAACGGGGGGAAGAGGAUUUGAUUUUGAUGUUAGCGAGGCGGGGGAGAUCGGAAUCGGAGGUGGGGGUUGGUUGUUGCUGCAUUUCUUUUGGGGAAAGUUUGGGGGU